UAUCCGUAGGUGAACCUGCGGAUGGAUCAUUAACGAUACGUGGCGUUCCUCACCGAACACACGUUCAUACCAACCAAACCUGUGCGAGGAGAGACAAACGACUGUUGUUGGUCUUCACGGAUCAACACACGGCUGGUUAUCCCUCCGUUUCUUUCUAUUUCUUUUUCUUUACAAACCUUAAAACCCCAUUUCUUCGUUUUCGAAGGACUGAAACCACACUGUUUCAAAUCGAAAGUAAGCGUCGACUUUUGCAUUGUUUCUAUUAGACCUUCAUGGGUCGAACGGACGUUAUGUGCAAAUCUCCGACUCUUCGAUUAGAUAUGAAAUCCUGUACAACUCUUAGCAACGGAUAUCUUGGUUCUC
This 363-nucleotide unclassified non-coding RNA is filed under the name soil metagenome. RNAcentral's name for it is "partial contains small subunit ribosomal RNA, internal transcribed spacer 1, and 5.8S ribosomal RNA". The record is from RNAcentral.